This 406-nucleotide ribosomal RNA is filed under the name uncultured bacterium. RNAcentral describes it as "partial 16S ribosomal RNA". It matches the Rfam family "Bacterial small subunit ribosomal RNA", at positions 30 to 526 of the family's 1533-position model. The record is from RNAcentral.
AUUGAACGCUGGCGGCAGGCCUAACACAUGCAAGUCGAACGCGUGGCGGACGGGUGAGUCACGUCUGUGAAACUGCCUGAUGGAGGGGGAUAAUUCCUGGAAACGGUAGCUAAUACCGCAUACCAUCGGAUGUCCCCCGAUGGGUGUAGCUAGUAGGUGGGGUAACGGCUCACCUAGGCGACGAUCCGUAGCUGGUCUGAGAGGAUGACCAGCCACACUGGAACUGAGACACGGUCCAGACUCCUACGGGAGGCAGCAGUGGGGAAUAUUGCACAAUGGGCGCAAGCCUGAUGCAGCCAUGCCGCGUGUGUGAAGAAGGCCUUCGGGUUGUAAAGUACUUUCAGCGGGGAGGCGUUACCAGCAGAAGAAGCACCGGCUAACUCCGUGCCAGCAGCCGCGGUAAUAC